CUAGACUCCUACGGGAGGCAGCAGUGGGGAAUAUUGGGCAAUGGGCGCAAGCCUGACCCAGCAACGCCGCGUGAAGGAAGAAGGCUUUCGGGUUGUAAACUUCUUUUAUUCGGGACGAAGCAAGUGACGGUACCGAAUGAAUAAGCCACGGCUAACUCCGUGCCAGCAGCCGCGGUAAUACGGAGGAUGCGAGCGUUAUCCGGAUUUAUUGGGUUUAAAGGGUGCGUAGGCGGAAUGCCAAGUCAGCGGUAAAAUCGCGGGGCUCAACCUCGCUCCGCCGUUGAAACUGGCGUUCUUGAGUGGGCGAGAAGUAUGCGGAAUGCGUGGUGUAGCGGUGAAAUGCAUAGAUAUCACGCAGAACUCCGAUUGCGAAGGCAGCAUACCGGCGCCCAACUGACGCUGAAGCACGAAAGCGUGGGUAUCGAACAGGAUUAGAUACCCCGGUACGU
RNAcentral lists this ribosomal RNA (449 nucleotides) under uncultured bacterium. RNAcentral's name for it is "bacterial SSU rRNA". It matches the Rfam family "Bacterial small subunit ribosomal RNA", at positions 331 to 794 of the family's 1533-position model. The record is from RNAcentral.